UGCCAGACUCCUACGGGAGGCAGCAGUGGGGGAUAUUGCACAAUGGGGGGAACCCUGAUGCAGCGACGCCGCGUGGGUGAAGGAGUGCUUCGGCAUGUAAAGCCCUAUCGGCAGGGAAGAAGCAAGACGGUACCUGACUAAGAAGCCCCGGCUAACUACGUGCCAGCAGCCGCGGUAAUACGUAGGGGGCGAGCGUUAUCCGGAGUGACUGGGUGUAAAGAGUUGCGUAGGUGGCAUAGUAAGUAGCUAGUGAAAUCUGGUGGCUCAACCAUUCAGACUAUUAGCUAAACUGCUAAGCUCGAGACCGUUAGGGGUAACUGGAAUUUCUAGUGUAGGAGUGAAAUCCGUAGAUAUUAGAAGGAACACCGAUAGCGUAGGCAGGUUACUGGGACGGUUCUGACACUAAGGCACGAAAGCGUAGGGAGCAAACGGGAUUAGAUACCCCAGUAC
This 450-nucleotide ribosomal RNA is filed under the name uncultured bacterium. RNAcentral describes it as "bacterial SSU rRNA". It matches the Rfam family "Bacterial small subunit ribosomal RNA", at positions 329 to 793 of the family's 1533-position model. The record is from RNAcentral.